UAUGGUGACUAUAGCAAUGGUGUCCACCUCUUCCCAUUCCGAACAGAGAAGUUAAGCCCAUUUGCGCAAAUGGUACUGGAGUAACAUCUGGGAGAGUAUGUCGUUGCCGUAC
Molecule: ribosomal RNA, 112 nt
Filed under: Bacteroidia bacterium
Lineage: Bacteria; Pseudomonadati; Bacteroidota; Bacteroidia
Source: RNAcentral